Molecule: ribosomal RNA, 231 nt
Filed under: Klebsiella pneumoniae
Lineage: Bacteria; Pseudomonadati; Pseudomonadota; Gammaproteobacteria; Enterobacterales; Enterobacteriaceae
Also listed under: 1 other name
Description: partial 23S ribosomal RNA
Rfam family: Bacterial large subunit ribosomal RNA
Source: RNAcentral
GUGUUCGGGUUGUCAUGCCAAUGGCACUGCCCGGUAGCUAAAUGCGGAAGAGAUAAGUGCUGAAAGCAUCUAAGCACGAAACUUGCCCCGAGAUGAGUUCUCCCUGAGACUUUAAGUCUCCUGAAGGAACGUUGAAGACGACGACGUUGAUAGGCCGGGUGUGUAAGCGCAGCGAUGCGUUGAGCUAACCGGUACUAAUGAACCGUGAGGCUUAACCUUACAACGCCGAAG